This 494-nucleotide ribosomal RNA is filed under the name uncultured bacterium. RNAcentral describes it as "partial 16S ribosomal RNA". It matches the Rfam family "Bacterial small subunit ribosomal RNA", at positions 28 to 507 of the family's 1533-position model. The record is from RNAcentral.
GACGAACGCUGGCGGCGCGCUUAACACAUGCAAGUCGAACGGAAAGGCCUGCUUUCCCUUGUGGAUUGCGGGUACUCGAGUGGCGAACGGGUGAGUAACACGUGAGUGAUCUGCCCCCAACUUGGGUAUAAGCCUGGGAAACUGGGUCUAAUUCCCGAUAGGACUGCAGGGUGGUGCCUGUGGUGGAAAACGAUUUUCUAGUGGUUGGGGAUGAGCUCGCGGCCUAUCAGCUUGUUGGUGGGGUAAUGGCCCACCAAGGCGGCGACGGGUAGCCGGCCUGAGAGGGUGGACGGCCACAUUGGGACUGAGAUACGGCCCAGACUCCUACGGGAGGCAGCAGUGGGGAAUAUUGCACAAUGGGCGGAAGCCUGAUGCAGCGACGCCGCGUGGGGGAUGACGGCCUUCGGGUUGUAAACUCCUUUCGACCGCGAGGAAGCCACCUGGUUGGAAGGGUGGUGACGGUAGUGGUAGAAGAAGCACCGGCUAACUACGUG